ACCAGACUCCUACGGGAGGCAGCAGUGGGGAAUAUUGCGCAAUGGGGGAAACCCUGACGCAGCAACGCCGCGUGAGUGAAGAAGUAUCUCGGUAUGUAAAGCUCUAUCAGCGGGGAAGAAGGAAGACGGUACCCGACUAAGAAGCCCCGGCUAACUACGUGCCAGCAGCCGCGGUAAUACGUAGGGGGCGAGCGUUAUCCGGAUUUACUGGGUGUAAAGGGAGCGUAGACGGCGGCGCAAGUCUGAAGUGAAAGCCCGUGGCUCAACCGCGGAACCGCUUUGGAAACUGCGAGGCUGGAGUGCUGGAGAGGUAAGCGGAAUUCCUGGUGUAGCGGUGAAAUGCGUAGAUAUCAGGAGGAACACCGGUGGCGAAGGCGGCUUACUGGACAGUGACUGACGUUGAGGCUCGAAAGCGUGGGGAGCGAACAGGAUUAGAUACCCGUGUA
This 446-nucleotide ribosomal RNA is filed under the name uncultured bacterium. RNAcentral describes it as "bacterial SSU rRNA". It matches the Rfam family "Bacterial small subunit ribosomal RNA", at positions 330 to 792 of the family's 1533-position model. The record is from RNAcentral.